GGAUUGGUCCAACCAAGGGACCUUGGUGUUGAAAGGGUGGGAGAGCCUCCUGGAAAGAUCAUUUCCCCUGAGGGAUUGGUCCAACCAAGGGAGCUUGGUGUUGAAAGGGUGGGAGAGCCUCCUGGAAAGAUCAUUUCCCCUGAGGGAUUGGUCCAACCAAGGGAGCUUGGUGUUGAAAGGGUGGGAGAGCCUCCAGGAAAGAUCAUUUCCCCUGAGGGAUUGGUCCAACCAAGGGAGCUUGGUGUUGAAAGGGUGGGAGAGCCUCCUGGAAAGAUCAUUUCCCCUGAGGGAUUGGUCCAACCAAGGGAGCUUGGUGUUGAAAGGGUGGGAGAGCCUCCUGAAAAGAUCAUUUCCCCUGAGGGAUUGGUCCAACCAAGGGAGCUUGGUGUUGAAAGGGUGGGAGAGCCUCCUGGAAAGAUCAUUUCCCCUGAGGGAUUGGUCCAACCAAGGGAGCUUGGUGUUGAAAGGGUGGGAGAGCCUCCUGGAAAGAUCAUUUCCCCUGAGGGAUUGGUCCAGCCAAGGGACCUUGGUGUGGAAAGGGUGGGAGAGCCUGCAGGGACGGUCAUUUCCCCUGAGGGAUUGAUCCAGUUAAGGGGCCUUGGUGUGGAAAGGGUAAGAGAGCCUGCAGAGAAGAUCAUUUCCCCUGCGGGACUGGUCCAGCCAAAGGACCUUGAUGUUCAAAAGGUAGAUCUGAAGCCUGCCAUGAUACCGAGGAAAGAUGAUAUGAAACAGGUCGAGUUGAAAAUUGAAGGGAAAUCAUUUCGUCCCCAAAAGCCUUACCUGGAAUCUACUUCAGAACUUAGACGUAAGCAAGCUGUGAUCUCCCCCAUGCCCAGUGAUUCUCAAGAGGAGAAGUUAUUGUCUUUGGCCAAAUCCAAGUACAAGCCCAGACCUCCACCCCUCCCCACCGCCCAGAGGUUUCCACUCACGCCAAAGGAGCCAGUUGCCCCAACCCCAACCCCAACUCCAUCUGAAGGGCGUCCAGAGAGUCCCACCUGGGAAGUCAUGGGACCGGACACUGUGGCUUCCCCAAAAAAGUCAGCCCAAGAACGCUGGAGGUGGUUUCUGCGGAUUCAUCAGAGUAUCAGGGCCUUCAAGGGGGCCAUGGCCCGACGGGAUAGAAGCUUGCCUCCUACAUACAGUGAAUUCAUGCACAAGCUCCCUAGAGGAGGCUGGGACCGAUUACAGAAUGCCCUGCGGAAGCUUCGCCAAAAAGGGACAAUCACCAAAAAAACCAUGGACAGCCUUUGCUGGCUGCUGGAGCAGACAUCCCCACUGAAGCAGAUGGAGUGGGUGGAAACGGCCCAUCUGGAGACCCUUGCCUCGCAAUUGGAGUCCCUAAAGGCUCCCCAAGUAGUCUCUACGUCUGUUGCCUAUGGCAUGCCCACAGUGGAAGUAAUCCCCCCACAGACAGACUACCCUAGAGAGGAACUCCGCCCCAGAGAGAGCUUCCAGGAACUCCGCCCCAGAGGGAGCCUCCUGCUACCCGAGUUUCCUGCCCUCGCCAGGCCAUCCAUUCAGCCUGGAGCCCCCGAUCUGGUAGCCCCAGGGAAAGUCAAGGAGAUUGGGCCUGAGUUCCAGGAACUCCGCCCCAGAGAGAGCUUCCAGGAACUCCGCCCCAGAGGGAGCCUCCUGUUGCCUGAGUUUCCAGCCCUCGCCAGGCCAUCCAUUCAGCCUGGAGCCCCCGAUCUGGUAGCCCCAGAGAAAGUCAAGGAGAUUGGGCCUGAAUUCCAGGAACUCCACCCCAGAGGGAGCCUCCAGGAACUCCCCCCUAGAGGGAGCCUCCUGCUGCCCGAGUUUCCGGCCCUCGCCAGGCCAUCCAUUCAGCCUGGCGCCCCCGACCUGGUGGCCCUGGGGAAAGUCAAGGAGAUUCGGCCUGAGUUCCAGGAAUCUUUACGGAAGGACCUGGCUCGGAUUUUCCCUGAUUACUCAGCCAGUGCCCUGAAGGUCCUGAAACUCCAGCAAAAGGUGCAGUUAUGGAAGGACAAGAUAAAGGAGCUUCAGCUGUCCAGGCUGAAGGACAAGAAAUCACUAUUACCCCCUGCAGCCCUGCCAGGACCCCCAGGAGAAGCCCCGCCCACCACAGCCUGGCCUGGACUCCCAGGAGAACCCCUUCCCACCGCAGCCUGGCCUGGACUCCCAGGAGAACCCCUUCCCACCGCAGCCUGGCCUGGACUCCCAGGAGAACCCCCAUACAUAGCGGCCAGGCCUGGACUCCCAGGAGAACCCCCAUAUAUAGUGGCCAGACCUGGACUCCCAGGAGAAAUCCUUCCCACCGCAGCCUGGCCUGGACUCCCAGGAGAACCCCCAUACAUAGCGGCCAGACCUGGACUCCCAGGCGAACCCCUUCCCACCACAGCCAGGCCUGGACUCCCAGGCGAACCCCUUCCCACCGCAGCCUGGCCUGGACUCCCAGGAGCACCACCGCCCACUGCAGCCUGGUCUGGAUUCCCAGGCGAACCCCUUCCCACCGCAGCCAGGCCUGGACUCCCAGGAGAACCCCCAUACAUAGCGGCCAGGCCUGGACUCCCAGGCGAACCCCUUCCCACUGCCAGGCCUGGACUCCCAGGAGAACCCCUACCUAGCGGCCAGGCCUGGACUCCCAGGCGAACCCCUAUACAUAAGGACC
This 2629-nucleotide long non-coding RNA is filed under the name Sarcophilus harrisii (Tasmanian devil). Its description in RNAcentral is "lncRNA (ENSSHAG00000022789.1)". The record is from RNAcentral. Lineage: Eukaryota; Metazoa; Chordata; Mammalia; Dasyuromorphia; Dasyuridae.